GAUGAACGCUGGCGGCGUGCUUAACACAUGCAAGUCGAACGGUGAAGCAGGAGCUUGCUCUUGUGGAUCAGUGGCGAACGGGUGAGUAACACGUGAGCAACCUGCCCCUGACUCUGGGAUAAGCGCUGGAAACGGCGUCUAAUACUGGAUAUGUGAUGUGACCGCAUGGUCUGCAUCUGGAAAGAAUUUCGGUUGGGGAUGGGCUCGCGGCCUAUCAGCUUGUUGGUGAGGUAAUGGCUCACCAAGGCGUCGACGGGUAGCCGGCCUGAGAGGGUGACCGGCCACACUGGGACUGAGACACGGCCCAGACUCCUACGGGAGGCAGCAGUGGGGAAUAUUGCACAAUGGGCGGAAGCCUGAUGCAGCAACGCCGCGUGAGGGAUGACGGCCUUCGGGUUGUAAACUUCUUUUAUCUGGGACGAAAAAGGACCUUUCUAGGUCAACUGACGGUACCAGAGGAAUAAGCACCGGCUAACUCCGUGCCAGCAGCCGCCGUAA
RNAcentral lists this ribosomal RNA (498 nucleotides) under uncultured bacterium. RNAcentral's name for it is "partial 16S ribosomal RNA". It matches the Rfam family "Bacterial small subunit ribosomal RNA", at positions 28 to 523 of the family's 1533-position model. The record is from RNAcentral.